Molecule: ribosomal RNA, 497 nt
Filed under: uncultured bacterium
Lineage: Bacteria
Description: bacterial SSU rRNA
Rfam family: Bacterial small subunit ribosomal RNA
Source: RNAcentral
GAUGAACGCUAGCGGGAGGCCUAACACAUGCAAGCCGAGCGGUAUUGUUUCUUCGGAAAUGAGAGAGCGGCGUACGGGUGCGGAACACGUGUGCAACCUGCCUUUAUCUGGGGGAUAGCCUUUCGAAAGGAAGAUUAAUACUCCAUAAUAUAUUGAACGGCAUCGUUUAAUAUUGAAAGCUCCGGCGGAUAGAGAUGGGCACGCGCAAGAUUAGCUAGUUGGUGAGGUAACGGCUCACCAAGGCGAUGAUCUUUAGGGGGCCUGAGAGGGUGAUCCCCCACACUGGUACUGAGACACGGGACCAGACUCCUACGGGGAGGCAGCAGUGAGGAAUAUUGGUCAAUGGGUGCAAGCCUGAACCAGCCAUCCCGCGUGAAGGACGACUGCCCUAUGGGUUGUAAACUUCUUUUGUAUAGGGAUAAACCUACCCUCGUGAGGGUAGCUGAAGGUACUAUACGAAUAAGCACCGGCUAACUCCGUGCCAGCCGCCGCGGUAA